AUUACAUUUUAUUUUAUACGCAGAGUCGAACAAGAUAAAAUACGGUUUCAUUAACCAAAGCAGAUACUGGCCCCGGAUUUUUUUUUUCAUACUUAUUUAUCUUCUAUAUACAUAUAAAUGCGAUAAUGAAAAUCUUGGACUCGAAUAAUUUUUGGAAAUACUCAUCCAACCAUGGUUCAUUCAUACGGUUUUUUUUAUAAUGAUUAUUUUAAGUAUAACGGGAAGAAGUUAUUUAGUGACAUUUACGUUAAAUUUUUGGCUGGUGGUCUCGAGUUUAAAUUCCGAAUAAGAUAAUUCUUUAAGAUUCUGAGUGGAACG
Molecule: non-coding RNA, 318 nt
Organism: Cinara cedri
Lineage: Eukaryota; Metazoa; Arthropoda; Insecta; Hemiptera; Aphididae
Source: the annotation of a GenBank genome assembly